GACGGAGGGUGCAAGCGUUAUCCGGAAUUAUUGGGCGUAAAGCGUCCGCAGGUGGCAGUUCAAGUCUGCUGUCAAAGACCGGGGCUUAACUUCGGAAAGGCAGUGGAAACUGAACAGCUAGAGUAUGGUAGGGGCAGAGGGAAUUCCUGGUGUAGCGGUGAAAUGCGUAGAGAUCAGGAAGAACAUCGGUGGCGAAGGCGCUCUGCUGGACCAUAACUGACACUCAGGGACGAAAGCUAGGGGAGCGAAUGGG
This 253-nucleotide ribosomal RNA is filed under the name uncultured bacterium. RNAcentral's name for it is "partial 16S ribosomal RNA". It matches the Rfam family "Bacterial small subunit ribosomal RNA", at positions 524 to 776 of the family's 1533-position model. The record is from RNAcentral.